CCUACGGGAGGCAGCAGUUGGGAAUAUUGCGCAAUGGGCGAAAGUCUGACGCAGCGACGCCGCGUGAAGGAAGAAGGCUUUCGGGUUGUAAACUGCUUUUCUCAGGGACGAAGCAAGUGACGGUACCUGAGGAAUAAGCCACGGCUAACUACGUUCCAGCAGCCGCGGUAAUACGUAGGUGGCAAGCGUUAUCCGGAUUUACUGGGUGUAAAGGGCGUGUAGGCGGGACUGCAAGUCAGAUGUGAAAACCAAGGGCUCAACCUGUGGCCUGCAUUUGAAACUGUAGUUCUUGAGUACUGGAGAGGGCGACAGAAUUCCUAGUGUAGCGGUGAAAUGCGUAGAUAUUAGGAGGAACACCAGUGGCGAAGGCGGUCUGCUGGACAGCGACUGACGCUGAGGCGCGAAAGCGUGGGGAGCAAACAGGAUUAGAUACCCCUGUAGUC
Molecule: ribosomal RNA, 443 nt
Filed under: uncultured bacterium
Lineage: Bacteria
Description: partial 16S ribosomal RNA
Rfam family: Bacterial small subunit ribosomal RNA
Source: RNAcentral